UACAGAGGUCCCAAGCGUUGUUCGGAUUUAUUGGGCGUAAAGAGCUCGUAGGUGGCUGAGUAAGUCGGAUGUUAAAUCCCCAGGCUCAACCUGGGACACCACCCGAUACUGCUCUGGCUAGAGUCCGGUAGGGGAGCGUGGAAUUCCUGGUGUAGCGGUGAAAUGCGCAGAUAUCAGGAGGAACACCAGCGGCGAAGGCGGCGCUCUGGGCCGGUACUGACACUGAGGAGCGAAAGCCAGGGGAGCAAACGGG
RNAcentral lists this ribosomal RNA (253 nucleotides) under uncultured bacterium. RNAcentral describes it as "partial 16S ribosomal RNA". It matches the Rfam family "Bacterial small subunit ribosomal RNA", at positions 524 to 776 of the family's 1533-position model. The record is from RNAcentral.